RNAcentral lists this ribosomal RNA (441 nucleotides) under uncultured bacterium. RNAcentral describes it as "partial 16S ribosomal RNA". It matches the Rfam family "Bacterial small subunit ribosomal RNA", at positions 338 to 795 of the family's 1533-position model. The record is from RNAcentral.
CCUACGGGAGGCAGCAGUGGGGAAUAUUGCACAAUGGGGGAAACCCUGAUGCAGCGACGCCGCGUGAGUGAAGAAGUAUUUCGGUAUGUAAAGCUCUAUCAGCAGGGAAGAAGAAAGACGGUACCUGACUAAGAAGCACCGGCUAACUACGAGCCAGCAGCCGCGGUAAUACGUAGGGGGCAAGCGUGAUCCGGAUUUACUGGGUGUAACGGGAGCGUAGACGGCAGUGCAGGUCGGAAGUGAAAGCCCAGGGCUCAACCGUGGGACUGCUUUGGAAACUGUGGAGCUAGAGUGCUGGAGAGGUAAGUGGAAUGCGUAGUGUAGCGGUGAAAUGCGUAGAGAUGAGGAGGAACACCAAUGGCGAAGGCAGCUUACUGGACAGUAACUGACGUUGAGGCUCGAAAGCGUGGGGAGCAAACAGGAUUAGAUACCCCGGUAGUC